RNAcentral lists this ribosomal RNA (497 nucleotides) under uncultured bacterium. RNAcentral's name for it is "partial 16S ribosomal RNA". It matches the Rfam family "Bacterial small subunit ribosomal RNA", at positions 28 to 507 of the family's 1533-position model. The record is from RNAcentral.
GAUGAACGCUGGCGGCGUGCCUAAUACAUGCAAGUCGAGCGAACAGACGAGGAGCUUGCUCCUCUGACGUUAGCGGCGGACGGGUGAGUAACACGUGGAUAACCUACCUAUAAGACUGGGAUAACUUCGGGAAACCGGCGCUAAUACCGGAUAAUAUAUUGAACCGCAUGGUUCAAUAGUGAAAGACGGUUUUGCUGUCACUUAUAGAUGGAUCCGCGCCGCAUUAGCUAGUUGGUAAGGUAACGGCUUACCAAGGCGACGAUGCGUAGCCGACCUGAGAGGGUGAUCGGCCACACUGGAACUGAGACACGGUCAAGACUCCUACGGGAGGCAGCAGUAGGGAAUCUUACGCAAUGGGCGAAAGCCUGACGGAGCAACGCCGCGUGAGUGAUGAAGGUCUUCGGAUCGUAAAACUCUGUUAUUAGGGAAGAACAAAUGUGUAAGUAAAUAUGCACGUCUUGACGGUACCUGAUCAGAAAGCCACGGCUAACUACGUG